AUACGUAGGGGGCGAGCGUUGUCCGGAAUGAUUGGGCGUAAAGGGCGCGUAGGCGGCCCGGUAAGUCUGGAGUGAAAGUCCUGUUUUUAAGAUGGGAAUUGCUUUGGAUACUGCCGCGCUUGAGUGCAGGAGAGGUUAUCGGAAUUCCCGGUGUAGCGGUGAAAUGCGUAGAGAUCGGGAGGAACACCAGUGGCGAAGGCGGGUAACUGGACUGCAACUGACGCUGAGGCGCGAAAGUGUGGGGAGCAAACAGGAUUAGAUACCCUGGUAGUCCACACUGUAAACGAUGAAUGCUAGGUGUAAGAGGUAUCGACCCCUUUUGUGCCGGAGUCAACACAAUAAGCAUUCCGCCUGGGGAGUACGGCCGCAAGGUUGAAACUCAAAUGAAUUGACGGGG
RNAcentral lists this ribosomal RNA (397 nucleotides) under uncultured bacterium. Its description in RNAcentral is "partial 16S ribosomal RNA". It matches the Rfam family "Bacterial small subunit ribosomal RNA", at positions 523 to 918 of the family's 1533-position model. The record is from RNAcentral.